Molecule: transfer RNA, 70 nt
Filed under: Nitrososphaerota archaeon
Lineage: Archaea; Thermoproteati; Nitrososphaerota
Description: Thaumarchaeota archaeon tRNA-Cys
Source: RNAcentral
GGAGGGGUAGCGGAGUAGAAACGCAGCCGCCUGCAGAGCGGCUGAUCGUGGGUUCAAAACAUGCAUAGCA